CUUAUGGAGAGUUUGAUCCUGGCUCAGGACGAACGCUGGCGGCGUGCCUAAUACAUGCAAGUCGAGCGGAUGACGGGGAGCUUGCUCCCCCGAUUCAGCGGCGGACGGGUGAGUAACACGUGGGCAACCUGCCUGUAAGG
Molecule: non-coding RNA, 140 nt
Filed under: Bhargavaea cecembensis DSE10
Lineage: Bacteria; Bacillati; Bacillota; Bacilli; Caryophanales; Caryophanaceae
Description: Bacterial small subunit ribosomal RNA
Rfam family: Bacterial small subunit ribosomal RNA
Source: Rfam by way of RNAcentral